This 492-nucleotide ribosomal RNA is filed under the name uncultured bacterium. Its description in RNAcentral is "partial 16S ribosomal RNA". It matches the Rfam family "Bacterial small subunit ribosomal RNA", at positions 29 to 507 of the family's 1533-position model. The record is from RNAcentral.
AGUGAACGCUGGCGGUAGGCCUAACACAUGCAAGUCGAACGGCAGCACAGUAAGAGCUUGCUCUUACGGGUGGCGAGUGGCGGACGGGUGAGGUAUACAUCGGAAUCUACUUUUUCGUGGGGGAUAACGUAGGGAAAUUUACGCUAAUAACGCAUACGACCUACGGGUGAAAGCAGGGGAUCUUCGGACCUUGCGCGAUUGAAUGAGCCGAUGUCGGAUUAGCUAGUUGGCGGGGUAAAGGCCCACCAAGGCGACGAUCCGUAGCUGGUAUGAGAGGAUGAUCAGCCACACUGGAACUGAGACACGGUCCAGACUCCUACGGGAGGCAGCAGUGGGGAAUAUUGGACAAUGGGCGCAAGCCUGAUCCAGCCAUACCGCGUGGGUGAAGAAGGCCUUCGGGUUGUAAAGCCCUGUUGUUGGGAAAGAAAAGCAGCAGGUUAAUACCCCGCUGUUCUGACGGUACCCAAAGAAUAAGCACCGGCUAACUUCGUG